AUUGAACGCUGGCGGCAGGCCUAACACAUGCAAGUCGAGCGGAGCGGCAGACGGGUGAGUAAUGCCUAGGAAUCUGCCUGGUAGUGAGGGAUAACGUCAGGAACCGGGCGCUAAUACCGCAUACUAUCAGAGUAGCAUAUGUCGGAUUAGAUAGAUGGUGGGGUAAAGGCCUACAAAGGCGACGAUCCGUAACUGGUCUGAGAGGAUGAUCAGUCACACUGGAACUGAGACACGGUCCAGACUCCUACGGGAGGCAGCAGUGGGGAAUAUUGGACAAUGGGCGAAAGCCUGAUCCAGCCAUGCCGCGUGUGUGAAGAAGGUCUUCGGAUUGUAAAGCACUUUAAGUUGGGAGGCGUUACCAACAGAAUAAGCACCGGCUAACUUCGUGCCAGCAGCCGCGGUAAUAC
This 407-nucleotide ribosomal RNA is filed under the name uncultured bacterium. RNAcentral describes it as "partial 16S ribosomal RNA". It matches the Rfam family "Bacterial small subunit ribosomal RNA", at positions 30 to 526 of the family's 1533-position model. The record is from RNAcentral.